AUCAUUUUUUGAAAACACUUUCUUCCUUUGAAGCGUUUCUGCCUCCUUCCUCCGGUCCCUCUCUCUAUAAAUCUCAAGAGAGCGAGGAGCGCGAAGGAGAGAGAAUAGGGGUCGGUCGACAGAUCCGGAGAGGGAGGGAUUCUUCCGGUGGAGUUUCUCGUUGCGCAGUCGGGGUGAAGUCCACCCUCCCCCUCCGCUUCAGCAGCGGCGGCGCCCCCCUCUGUCGGUGCAGGCGCUGGCUACUCGAUCCGAGAGCUUCCGCACCCGCCAGGCCGGCUGCCGCAGUGAGGAAUUCCGUUUCGGUAGUGGGCAGACUGACAUAAGCGUGUUUCCUGCUGUCUGUAGCUCACGGAAGGGACAUUAAAUAAUGGACUCCAGAAGCUGUCAAGUAAAACUAAUGGUUGGAGUAAUUGAUGAGGUGAUAACUCCCGCUGCUCUUGCGGUUCCUGAGACAUCCAACCUUGAAGAUGGUGCAAGGUUCUGAAUACUGGACCAUGUCUUCCAGUUGAAACAAAAUACCAUAGACUUCCAGUCGUCGACGGUGAUGGUAAAUUGGUUGGGAUUAUUACAAGGGGAUUUCGUCGUUAGAGCAGCGCCGCAAAUAAAGCAUGAAAACAAGAAACAUUCUCGAGUCUAAGAUGGAAAUCACGUAAGUCACUAUCACUAUUUACGAGUUCAUAUUAGCGGCUGAUAUCUUACGCAUCCUUCGUCUCAGCCAUCGCAGAAAUUAUCCUGUGACAUAGGAACCCCAUAACACCGGCAUCACUAGCUUCAGAUACCAUAUUCAUGUUCUCUAGGUCUUCGACCAUGCCUUCUCUUCAUUAGUUCCAAGAGUCACCUUAAUAUAUUUAAUGUUUUCUGCACCGGUCUCAAAUAGAAAAAAGUCAUGUCAGCUACCUACCGAAUGAUGAGUGAUGA
This is a non-coding RNA of Musa acuminata subsp. malaccensis (wild Malaysian banana), 918 nucleotides long. The record is from RefSeq and is a predicted model, not a curated record. NCBI's taxonomy places the organism in Eukaryota, Viridiplantae, Streptophyta, Magnoliopsida, Zingiberales, Musaceae.